RNAcentral lists this ribosomal RNA (253 nucleotides) under uncultured bacterium. RNAcentral describes it as "partial 16S ribosomal RNA". It matches the Rfam family "Bacterial small subunit ribosomal RNA", at positions 524 to 776 of the family's 1533-position model. The record is from RNAcentral.
UACGUAGGGUGCGAGCGUUAAUCGGAAUUACUGGGCGUAAAGCGUGCGCAGGCGGUUCGUUAAGUUCGAUGUGAAAGCCCCGGGCUCAACCUGGGAACUGCAUUGGAAACUGGCGAGCUUGAAUGCGGCAGAGGGGGGUGGAAUUCCGCGUGUAGCAGUGAAAUGCGUAGAGAUGCGGAGGAACACCGAUGGCGAAGGCAGCCCCCUGGGCCGACAUUGACGCUCAGGCGCGACAGCGUGGGGAUCAAACAGG